CCAAAAGCAAUGCAAAUCUUUAACCUCAUGAAUUUUCCAAUCAAAGUACAUAUCACAGAGUACAACUGAGGCACAUCAAGCUCGGCACAAAGGAAUAAACCAAGUAAUGUUUAAUAGAUCAGGCUUGAGUAGCACAUAGGGCAGCGAGAUAGUACAAAAUAUUGAAAGCUAAGCAUUUACACAGGGGGCUAGUGACAAUCAGAUAGCAGUCCUUCGCCAAGAAUGGUUGAAGUUCCUCGUCGCUCAAAGAAAAGUUGAGUAACGUUGGCCUGAAAGUGAUGAAAAAACCAUAUUCCUGGAGAGGAUAUCUCAACAUUUUUACAAAAAUUGAUAUCUACAGUGACUAAAAAGGAACUAUCAAGAAGGCAAGAUUAGUAAACUGACAUCAAGCAACUCAUGUAUGUUUCCUUUAAAUUAGUUUGGGGAGUGUGGUAGAAAAUGCAGCCGAAACUACCAAGAGAAUCAAGAUGGUUUAGUACGACAUAACACAAGCAGGCCAUAGUAGUAGUUUGAGCCAAUCUAAGAGCACUAUUUUAAUAUGGCAUAGCAAUAUAAACUUCGUCAAAACAUCUUGGCAUCUGGAUAACUGGUCAUCAGGGCUGAAGCAAAUGAUUCUCGAGUCUCGACGUCAAUCGACCAUCAGUGGUGAGUCUCCUGCAUGAAGAAGGCAUUGUCAUUUAUCAGUAAGAGGUUAGUCAGCAAAUAUGUCACCUAAAGACGUACAGCAUGAAGAAAACGGAUCGAUAUUAGGCGCAUGUAAAAAUGUGUCAAACAGAUAUAAGAACAAAAGACUCUACAUUCUGAAGUAUGACUGGGGCAGUAGGGUUAAAAACAUGACGACAGCUGCGACCAACUCAAUCAGGAAACUAAUACCUAUAAAGGGAAAUGCAGGCAUGUCUCAAUAGAUAUAAACAACAAAGUUUGUUAUCUAUAUUGAAUGAAAUAGAUCAAUGUAAACUCGCCAUGAAAUGAGACCAAAUAUAUGGGGCUCCAUGGGCAAACAACACCUUUAUUGCUUCAUGCUGAACUACUUUAUGUAAGAGAAAAUUUUAAGCUUUAGUGGCAAGCAGGCAGGUGAAGUGUCAUAUUAGUAAAUGUGCAAAAGGUUAUCUAUUGAAUACCAUGUGAAUGGAACAUGUCUGCCUUGCAUACAAUUUGGAGACUAAAGAAGCUCAAACCAAAGCACCAGAUGAAUUUAAAGCAGCAAUUGCGAGAACAAAUACUUGGUCUACAGAAUGUUCCUAGAGCUCCACCACAAAAAUGUGUUGGUCUAUUAUCUCUUCCCCUGGAGCAAAGCAAGAUGGAAAAUGAAGAAUGAAAACAAUGCGUUUAAAUAAGGGACAUGCCAGGAGGGUGGCUCGGUGUGCAAGAAUAUAAAUUCAGUACUUGUCCUCCACCGUUGUCGACGAUGCAGCCACCUCCAUGCGGCCAUUGUGUCACCACAGUUGUUUCUCAAUUAAAAUGUGAACCAUCCAAAGGAAAUUUAUUAUUAAAGCUUGUAGCGAACCACCUGUGUAAGGAAGGUUUCAUUGUUUAUCAAUAAAAAACAAUUUGCAAAGCUUAAUCAGCAAAGUUCGGGAAAGCGCGCUUAAUCGAGCGCUUAUGCGCGCCUACGCGCAAGGCGCUGGCCUACCGCCUCGCAUAGGCCAUGUGCGCUCGUAAAGGCGCGACGCGUGCCUAGGCGGAGCGCUUUUCUCGCUAAGGCGAGCUUAAGCGCGCGGAACAGCGCAGAACGGACGCUUAAUGGCGCAGAACGACGAGAGGGGAUCCAUCGGGGAAUCAGGAUAAAGAGGCAGGGAGCCACGGGAUGAAAGGCAGAGGGUCAAAAUCAAGCCCGUGUUAGGGUUAGGGUCUCCUCUCCUCCAUUCCUCGCGUCGCCGGACUCUCCUUGGGGCCGCCGGCAGCAGCACGCCCUCCGCCGUGGAUCUGAAGCUCCUCCUCGCGCCUCUCCUGCUCGGGCCCUCCCCCGCACCUCCGGUUCCUGGCCUUCGACCUCAUCCCGCCGUGGAUCUCGCGGCCUGGUCUUCUUCUCUUCAGGCAGGUGAGCCCCCAGAUCCCCAUCGAGCCUACCUUCUACUACUAGCUUCUGUCUGUUGCUACUUUGCUGGUGCUACUAGUUGCCGCUGAAGUGAUGUUAGCUGCUGUUGGUGGUAGUUAGUGGUGUUGUUUACUAGUAGAGUAAAAGUAGUAGUACUUGGUGUUGUUGCCUGUUGCUGUUAAUUUGCUGCUGCUAGCUGCUACUGUUGUUUGAUGCUGCUACUACUUGUUUGCUGCUGAUGCUAGCUGAUGCUGAUGCUAGCUGCUGCUGCUACUUGUUUGUUGCUAAUGCUAGCUGCUGCUGCUGUCUGUGGCUACUAGCUGCUAAUUUGUGUUGUUGACUUGUUGUUGUAGGAUGUCAACAUCAGAGAACACCACCGCCGAAACAGAGUCUGAAAGGCCGAUAGCUCUUAAGAGGAAAUCCAAUGAUGUUGGAUGGAACUAUGGGAAACUAUGUGAUGUCACAAACAAGGAGAGGGUGAAGUGUGACUUUUGUGGCCAUAUUAGCACCGGAGGAAUUAACCGUUUCAAGCUACACAUCACAGGCACCACCUCAAGCGUUCUUUCAUGUUUAAGAUCAACUCCGGAGGCUAAAGCAAUAUGCCAGAGAGCACUUGAUGCAUAUGAGGCAAAGAAGGUGGCGAAGAAAAAACAUAUGGCAGAAGUGAGGGCUGAUGUGCAUGUUACAGCCCUAAAUGAAGCAAGGGAUGGUAGAGAAUCUGUUUGUGUUGGAAGCACAUCAUCGGAGCCCAACAAAUUAGGACCAAUGGACAAGUUUGUGCGUCCUAUUGAUGGUAAAUCAAGCAAAGAGGAAGCCUUUUAGCAGCUAAGUAUGAAUGAAGCACUAUUCGAGGAGAGAAGAGGUCAAUGUUCACCAUAUGUUGCUAGAUGGGUGUAUUCACAUGGUAAUUCUGAAGUCCUUCAUUUCUUUGCUUGCUUGUGCUUGAAAUGAUUGCUUGAUUGCAUUGUUUUGUUCCUUUGCUUGUAGGCAUACCAUUUAAUGCUCUUGACAAUGAUGAGUUUUGUCAAAUGUGUGAGGCCAUAGGCAAAUUUGGUCCUGGAUAUGAGCCUCCUACUCAAUAUGAGCUUAGGGAGAAGUUGUUGAGUGAUGAAUAUGCAAGGACCAAGAGUUUGUUAGAUGAACGUGAGAAGGAGAAGAUAAAGCUUAGGUGCACCAUCAUGACAGAUGCAUGGACGGACAUGAAGAGGAGGAGCAUAAUGAAUUUGUGCAUGCAUUGUAGUGGGGGGACAAGUUUUCUCAAAUCAAAGGAAACAUCCGAUGUGUCACAUACAAGUGAAGUCAUAUUUCAGCUAGUGGACAGCACAAUUGAGGAGGUAGGGGCGGAGCAUGUGAUGCAAGUGGUGACUGACAAUGCUUCCAAUAACAUGGGAGCCAAGAAAAUGUUGCUUGAGAAGAGGCCGAAGAUCUUUUGGAGCUCUUGUGCAACUCACACUAUCAACUUGAUGCUCCAAGGAAUUGGCAGCCUCAAGAGAUUCAAAACAAUAAUUGAUCAAGCAAAGAACCUCACCAUCUUCAUCUAUGCGCAUCACAAGACUUUGGCAUUGAUGAGGGUUGCUACAAAAAGGAGAGAUAUCAUAAGGCCGGGGGUGACUAGAUUUGCUUCCACUUUUCUCACAUUGCAAAGUUUGUUGGAGAAGAAAGAUGCUUUAAGGUAUAUGGUGGUUGAAAGAGCUUGGGAAGAUAUGAGUCAUGUGAAAACAAAGAAAGGCAAGGAUGCAACGGCAACGGUGAUGGAUGCUAACUUUUGGAAAGGUGUGCUCCUAUGCAUAAAGGUGUUUGAGCCAUUGGUGAGAGUUCUUCGUUUGGUUGAUUGGGAUAUUAAGCCAUCAAUGGCUUGGUUGUAUGGAGAGUUGGUGAAUGCAAAGAGGGAGAUGAAGGAGGCAUUUAACAACUUGGAGAGAAACUACAAAGAUACUAUGGGCAUUGUUGAAAAGAAAAUGAAUGGAAGGCUAGAUUCUCCACUGCACAUGGCCGCAUAUGUGUUGAACCCACACUACAGUUAUGCAGAUAGCUCCGUCUUUACCACUGCAAAUGAAGGAUUUCAGGAGUGUGUUGAACAAUACUAUGCAAAUGAUCAUGAUACUUGCAUGCUGGUUGUCAAUGACGAGUUUCUGAAAUAUGAAAACAAAGAAGGAACUUUUGGAAAGAAGCUUGCAAAAGCAUGUGAAAAUAAAAGCUACAGCCCCGGCAUACUUGCUUGCUCCUGCCCACUAGUUGCUACUCUUUUCUUGCUGCUACCAUGCUACUGCUGCUCCUACCUUGAUGCUGCUGCUACCAUGCUACUGCUGUUUUUUGCUGCUGCUACCUUGUUGCUGCUGCUACUACUAACUUGCUACUGCUAUAUGUUCUCCGAUUUCUAGUUGGUUGGUGGAAGCUUUAUGGAGGAGAAACACCAAAUUUGAAAGAAAUGGCUAUGAGAAUCCUCUCUCUGACCUCUAGCUCUUCUGGUUGUGAAAGAAACUGGAGUGCAUUUGAAUCGGUAUAUCUCUUCUCUCAAUUUUGUCUCCUCAUUUGUCUUGUCUCUCGUUUUUGUUUUUAAAUAUGCUCAUGCAAAAUGAUGUUUAAUAUGUAGAUACAUACCAAGAGAAGAAAUAGGCUCACAACGGAGCGAUGCAACAAUUUGGUCUUCAUAAGGUUCAAUAAUAGGAUGUUGUCUAGGAAACAAAAGCUCCUAGAGAAGAAGAAAUGGGAUGUGCUCAUUAGCACCGAUGCUACCGAAGCUCAAGGAUUUCUAUUUGAAGGAGGGGAUGAUUAUGCAAGUGUUGUUUAUCUUGAUGAGGAGGAUGGAGAUGUUCAUCCGGGUAUGGGGAUAUCAUGGGAUCUACUUGGUGAAGCAAUGGGAGCACAAGAGCAACUCCAACUUCGGAGGAGUGCAAGAGUGAGAGACCUUGAGGAGGAGUUUGAAUCCGAUCAUGAUGAUGAGAUGGUGGAUGAAGAUGAGAUUGAGUAUGAGGAUGAUUGAGAGGCAUUGAGCAUUUGAGCUAGUGAUCAUUGGCUCAUUGCAUGAUGGUUGGCAGCACCAUGCCAUUAAGUGAUCAAGUUAUCAUGCAUUUGUCUUUUGCUUGUUAUUUGUUAUGUAAGAGACUAUGAUGGAGUAUUCACGGGUGAGACUAUUGUGGAUCAUGGUCGUGGUACUUUGGUUUGGUAGCACUAAGCAAGUUUAAGACUUUUAUUUGUUAUGUAAUAUGCUUGCUUGUGAAGUUGUGAACUUGUGAUAUGUUCUGCCUAUUACAUUGCCUGUUUGCUACUUUGCUAGUUUGCUUUGAUUGCUCAUUCAAGUUGUGAACUUCAGAACUUGUGAUAUGUUCUGCCUAUUACAUUACAUUUUACAUAUAUGAAUGGUGAAUCUGAUAUAUAAUGCUUUGCUUGCUCGGUUGCUCCUUGCUUGUUGGUUGCUGCUGCUAACAUCUUGUCAUCUUCUCUAUGAUGUAUUUAGCUGUUGCACAAUGCAUUGGAGGGAGACGAUCAGAGUAGAACAUACAAAGAGGCAGGGGCAACAUAUUGGAGAGAGAACAAGGUUAUAAACUUAUAAUUGUACCUCCAGUUUACAUUCUAGCACUUUUUUAUGUCAAACUGCUCUUUUUUGCCCAUAUCCGUACAAUUAUAUAGAAAACGCAUAAUUGCGCCUAAUCACGCCUAAUCACGCCUAAGCUAGAAAAGCGCAAGUAGGUGGCCAAACGCAUAAUUAACGCCUAGCGCUUUCUCAAACUUUGUUAAUCAGACACACAAAGUUAAAUUGCAGAGCAGAAAAUAUUAAGGAACUAAAUGGCACAUGCUAGGAAAAUAGGAAGGCACAUCAAGGAGGUAUAUAUCAUAAUUAAUAGGGAGAGUAUUUUUUUCAAAGUAGAGAGAGGGGUCCUUCAUUACAAUUGUUCAUUCAAUUCUUGGAUCGUUUGAGCAAACAAAUCUGAUGAAACAAUACAAUAAUAUUAACAUGUAUACUCACAUUAUAUCCUCUUAUGAACAUUUACUCGGACAUUAACUCUCAUGAUUAUUUGAGUAAACAUAUAUAACAUCAGCGACCAAAGAGACGUGCACCUUAUAGAAUGCAUGUCGUGUAGGCAAACAAACCAAACAGAUACAUUACUUAUACUUAGGACAGUAAAUUUGCGUGCUUUGGUCGUCACUGAUUCCAUACAUAUAAAUCAAAAAAGGAAUAAUGCCACUGUUUGACGUUUGGUAUGAAAGGUGAACAGGGAAGCAUUCUCUUCAGGUAACCGGUGGUCUAACUGAACAAUUUUACGAAGUGGGGAAUUGAGGAACCAAUCCUUUGGUUCAGAAUCAUCUCUUACUAUUUUAGUCAAGGCACAUAGAGAACUAAAAUGCAGCUAUCAUUAAAUUCCCCACCAGCCACAAUGGCAACUACAGUUGGCCGUCUAUAUGAACCAGUUAUAAUCACUAAAAUAUCAUGGAUCCACAACAAACCAAGAAAGAGAUACCUCCAAAUGGAGGAGGCAAUCUCAACAAGACAGUUCGAAGGAAAUAACACAUCAAUACUACUAAGAAAACGAAGAUUGGUAGCUGCAGUGCAUGUAUUACAGUAGUACAUUGAGCACCUGAGACAGUAGCCGAAUCCGAAGGAGAAGUAGCCACACACCCAGCAACGACCCUGGCACCAAACUCUAACCUGGCAGUACUAUAAAACACAUUGACACUCAAUUCACAGCACAUAAAUAAUUAAUACAUAGUCACAAGUCAAAGAUAUAUUUCAAUGUUACCAAAGCCAUUUUCAGAAGCAAAUACCAGCACUUUAAGUAUACUGGAACAAAAAUAAACCAAAACUAAAAAAACUACUAACUAAUGUGGUCGAAAAACACCGGAUACUGAUCUAUGAAAUGUACCAACCUUAUUUUACUAAAUCUUCCACUACCAGAUGUGAUGUUAAAUAUCAAUUGAUAAUUACUAAUUUGUAUCUGCAAAGUAUCAUGAUAAAAAUGAAAUACCAGAUCAGUUAGAGAACACAAUUAUGCAAAAUACUGAUAAGAAAUCUGUAAAUAUUUGUGAUCGGUGUAUUUUUAAAAUAAAGCAAAUGCACCAUCUUAUCUUUCUUAUGUAGGUCAUGCCAGUUUUAAGCGAACUCUUUGACAUUUUCCAUAUAAAAAAAUGUAAGUGCAACCUUUCUAUACGACUGGCCAAUGUAAAAAGCGGUCAAUAAUCAAGAAGUAAUGAAACAUCGGUCAUUUCAGUUCACAACCAUAUGGCAUGGCACUAAUAGAAAUGGAGAUAGGUAACUGUUUCAAUGCCACCAUACCUUCAGAUUUCGGAGUUAUAGGGAACAUCCUACAGGGAUAAAUAUAGCCUCAUAAAAAGAACAUCCAGUCUUUACUUAGGGUAGAUUAAUCCCCAUUUGUAUUGUUAAUUGCAUGUAUUCUUCCUUUGUCUUCCUCUUGUGCUCAUUCACAGAUAAGCGCAUUGAUCAUGUAGAAUUUGUAAUGAUGUGCAACCUGCCAGCAUGCAACAAUUAUAUCAGCAUUAGAAAGUCAGG
RNAcentral lists this long non-coding RNA (7544 nucleotides) under Triticum aestivum (bread wheat). Its description in RNAcentral is "long non-coding RNA (TAES_LNC005705)". Lineage: Eukaryota; Viridiplantae; Streptophyta; Magnoliopsida; Poales; Poaceae. The record is from RNAcentral.